Molecule: ribosomal RNA, 253 nt
Filed under: uncultured bacterium
Lineage: Bacteria
Description: partial 16S ribosomal RNA
Rfam family: Bacterial small subunit ribosomal RNA
Source: RNAcentral
UACGUAGGGUGCAAGCGUUAAUCGGAAUUACUGGGCGUAAAGCGCACGUAGGCGGUUUUUUAAGUCAGAUGUGAAAGCCCCGGGCUCAACCUGGGAACUGCAUUUGUGACUGCAAGGCUAGAGUACGGCAGAGGGGGAUGGAAUUCCGCGUGUAGCAGUGAAAUGCGUAGAUAUGCGGAGGAACACCAAUGGCGAAGGCAAUCCCCUGGGCCUGUACUGACGCUCAUGCACGAAAGCGUGGGGAGCAAACAGG